CCAGCCUCCUCCCCAACCCUCCCAUAAGAGCCCCAGGACUCUCACCGCAUGCAUGACUCACUACUUCAUAACGGAGAACUCUGCAAGCACUUCAGUCAUCCCUGAAGUCACUCAGACCAGAUGCUCGAGGCAAGCAACGCGGCUAUUUUAGGAAGUCAGUUUCGAGGAAAUGGUGACGUCAUACAGCGGAAUUUAGAUUGCACUACACUUCCUGGAAACUAACUCUUAACUUCUUAGUAUUUCUCUCCCGUCUCUGGCAAAGAGGAAAUACAUUACCCCAGCGUAGUUUGCAGACUUUGGUUGCAAACAACGUUUCUUCGCGUGGGCAGGCCUUAAAAGUGUGCGGCCAGAAAGGCAGGACACGCGAGCGAAUCCCGGCCGGAUUCCAAGAAGCGUUGCUUCCAACGAAAGCGGAUGUCCUCUCACUGGAGUCGCAUAUUUCCAUCAACCCGAUGAGCAGAAGACAUCCGGUAUCUCCUCAUCCAUUCUGCCUUUCCUGGGGGCCCUUCCAAUUCUGCGAGACAGCCAGACAGUGAACGUUAUACCAAGGUCAUGAGAUGGCCCAGAUGGCUGAAACGGAUCGAGUUGCCAGGUUGCACCUUUUUGUUCCGCUUCAAAAUGAAGGUCACCAGUCGGGGAAGGACGGCGGACGAUCAACUUAUUAUUUUCUCACCAAUGCAAGCAAACACGAUGCCCCUCAGCUCAAGGUUGUUGUAGCUAAAAACCUCCCUGGAAUGAGACCUGCAUUUCAAACAGAAGUGUUCCGAGAUUGAGAUAAACCUAAACUUAAUUUCCUAAUGAAGUGGCAAAGUUGCAACAGACUCGAGUACAAGUAGUACACGUAUGUGAUUUGGAAGGACGAGGAAGGGACGUGUAUAGGACAAGUAGGUGACGCAGAGAGAGGGAGGUUACCAUCCCACCCGCACCAUCAACACACAGUCUGUUGCUUCAAUUUGUCCGCAGUAUGUCGAAGAAACGGAAGUGGAAUGACGACUGUCAAGUACGGCUUCACUUGUGCUACAGAAGGAUGAAACACGACGUCCACAGUGUAUCCUCUGCAGCACAGCACACUCUUCUCCAAUGCGAAUUUGAAGCCAUCAAAACUCAAUGAACAUUUCAAGAACAAACAUUGUGGCAGGGAUACAGGAAAUGAUAUCGUGACAUUAAGAGCCAAAAGAACUAGGUUUGAUCAGGCUGGCACACUGCCAACAUACGGAUUUUCGCCAACAGAGAAGCCUUUACUGCAUGUUUCUUAUCAAGUUGCAUACUAGAUUGCUAAGUCAAAGAAACCCCAUACAAUUGGUGAGGAAUUGAUCAAGCCAUGUGCCCUUAAAAUGGCAAAGUUUGUUCUCGGCAAGGAAGCUGAGAAGAAACUGCAACAAGUGUCUUUGUCAAACGAUGUGAUCCAUAACCGAAUCAUUGACAUGAGUGAUGACAUCCUGGAACAAGUUGUAGCGGACAUCAAGGCUAGUCCAGUUAAGAUUAGCCUACAAGUGGAUGAAUCAACAGAUGCAUCAAACUGUUGUCAGCUAUUGGCUGUAGUUCGUUACAUGAAGGAGAAAAAAGUGGAAGAAAGUUUUCUUUUCUGUCAGUCCCUGAAGGCAACUGCACAAGCUAUAGAUUGUUUCAUAAUAUACAAGAAUUCUUUGCAAGAAACGAACUUCACCUCGACAAAAUUGGUUCAAUAUGUACCGAUGGUGCACCAGCCAUGCUGGGCAAUCACUCUCGGUUGGCUGCAUUAAUGAGGAAAGAAAUUCUUAACCUGAAAAUCACUCACUGCUUUCUUCAUCCAUCACGCUCUUGCAGCCAGGACAUUGCCCUGGGUCUGAAGAAAACUCUGGAAGUUUGUGUUAAGGUUGUGAACUUGAUUCGCAGCCAUGUUUUGAAUCAUCAAUUGUCUCAGUCACUAUGUGAGGAAGUGGGCCAGGAACACACUGUGCUUUUGUACCAUAAUGAAGUGAGGUGGUUGUCACGUGGUCGUGUGCUAUCUCGUGCUUUUGAACUGAGAGGAGAAAUUCAUCAGUUUCUCCGUGAACGGGUACAAGAACUGGCUAUAUAUUUCAAUGAGCCUUGUUUUGUUCAGAUGCUAGCCUAUUUGGCUGAUGUGCUUUUAGCACUCAAUGAACUCAAUCUCUCUCUGAAGGGAAGGGGAUUUAACAUUGUGACUGCAAGCGAGAAAUUGACUGCAUUCAAAGAAAAACUUGUCUUGUGGAUUAAGCGUGUGAAUAUGGGGAAUUUGGUAAAUUUCCCCUGCUUGGAAGAGACACUCACGGAGAAUGCUACCCUGCAAAAAUUGUUGAACAUAUGCAGAUGCUGUGUACUUCAUUUGAGGGUUACUUCUCGUGUGGAGAGCUGCAAACCUGUGACAACUGGAUCCUGAACCCUUUCAGGCAGAAUUUGGACAAUGUUGAUGAUGACAGCGGCAUCAAGGAAGAUCUCAUCGACCUAAGACACAAUCGUGGAACCCAAAUGGAGUUCACCAGUGGUCAGCUAUAGCACUUCUGGGCUUCUCAGCUGGAAGCAUACCCAGUGCUAGCAAAGAAAGCUCUCAAAGUGCUAGUAGUAUCGUGUGCGACUACUUACCUGUGUGAGCAGGGAUUUUCUUGUCUACUUCACAUCAAAACCAAAAGUGGAAAUCGGCUAAAUUCUACGAGUAGCACUCAGUACAAAGACACCAAAAUAAAAAAAGAAACAACAACGAAGUCACUUGGUUUGCUGUGCAGUGCAGGCAAAACAAUGUAAUUUCAUUUUUAUUAAUAUGUACUCUGGAUCUUUGUCAUGAAAAAAAUGUAAUAUAU
Molecule: long non-coding RNA, 2798 nt
Organism: Macrobrachium nipponense
Lineage: Eukaryota; Metazoa; Arthropoda; Malacostraca; Decapoda; Palaemonidae
Exons: 5
Source: RefSeq, a predicted model, not a curated record